RNAcentral lists this ribosomal RNA (462 nucleotides) under uncultured bacterium. RNAcentral describes it as "partial 16S ribosomal RNA". It matches the Rfam family "Bacterial small subunit ribosomal RNA", at positions 28 to 507 of the family's 1533-position model. The record is from RNAcentral.
GACGAACGCUGGCGGCGUGCUUAACACAUGCAAGUCGAGCGGAAAGGCCCUUCGGGGUGCUCGAGCGGCGAACGGGUGAGUAACACGUGAGUAACCUGCCCCAGACUUUGGGAUAACCCUCGGAAACGGGGGCUAAUACCGGAUACGACACAGCUUCGCAUGGGGUCUGUGUGGAAAGUUUUUCGGUUUGGGAUGGGCUCGCGGCCUAUCAGCUUGUUGGUGGGGUGAUGGCCUACCAAGGCGACGACGGGUAGCCGGCCUGAGAGGGCGACCGGCCACACUGGGACUGAGACACGGCCCAGACUCCUACGGGAGGCAGCAGUGGGGAAUAUUGCACAAUGGGCGGAAGCCUGAUGCAGCGACGCCGCGUGAGGGAUGACGGCCUUCGGGUUGUAAACCUCUUUCAGCAGGGACGAAGCGUAAGUGACGGCACCUGCAGAAGAAGCGCCGGCCAACUACGUG